This 226-nucleotide unclassified non-coding RNA is filed under the name uncultured Chloroflexota bacterium. RNAcentral's name for it is "uncultured Chloroflexi bacterium contains 16S-23S intergenic spacer region". Lineage: Bacteria; Bacillati; Chloroflexota. The record is from RNAcentral.
UCCGGGUUGGACCCGGCGGUCCUGCCCAUGUCAAGCCCUGGUAAGGUUCUUCGCGUAGCUUCGAAUUAAACCGCACGCUCCGCUGCUUGUGCGGGCCCCCGUCAAUUCCUUUGAGUUUUAGCCUUGCGGCCGUAGUCCCCAGGCGGAGCACUUAUCGCGUUAGCUGCGCUACCGAGGGGGUCGAUACCCCCGACAGCUAGUGCUCAUCGUUUACGGCGUGGACUAC